RNAcentral lists this ribosomal RNA (432 nucleotides) under uncultured bacterium. RNAcentral describes it as "partial 16S ribosomal RNA". It matches the Rfam family "Bacterial small subunit ribosomal RNA", at positions 29 to 506 of the family's 1533-position model. The record is from RNAcentral.
AGCGAACGCUGGCGGCAGGCUUAACACAUGCAAGUCGAGCGGGCCUUUCGGGGUCAGCGGCGGACGGGUGCGUAACGCGUGGGAACGUGCCCUCUGGUUCGGAAUAACUCAGGGAAACUUGAGCUAAUACCGGAUACGCCCUUUUGGGGAAAGGCUUGCUGCCGGAGGAUCGGCCCGCGUCUGAUUAGCUAGUUGGUGAGGUAACGGCUCACCAAGGCGACGAUCAGUAGCUGGUCUGAGAGGAUGAUCAGCCACACUGGGACUGAGACACGGCCCAGACUCCUACGGGAGGCAGCAGUGGGGAAUAUUGGACAAUGGGCGCAAGCCUGAUCCAGCCAUGCCGCGUGAGUGAUGAAGGCCUUAGGGUUGUAAAGCUCUUUUAUCCGGGACGAUAAUGACGGUACCGGAGGAAUAAGCCCCGGCUAACUUCAU